AGAUGCUCCGUACUGCGAGUGAGCGGCAAAGCUCAAAUUUGAAAUCUGCGUCCUUCGGGGCGCCGAGUUGUAAUUUUGAGAUGCGUUUUCGACCGACAGGCCUGCCUUAAGUCCCUUGGAACAGGGCGUCACAGAGGGUGAGAAUCCCGUGAACGGUAGGCCUCGAGGCACACGAUACGUAUUCAACGAGUCGAGUUGUUUGGGAAUGCAGCUCAAAAUGGGUGGUAAAUUUCAUCUAAAGCUAAAUAUAGGGGAGAGACCGAUAGCGCACAAGUAGAGUGAUCGAAAGAUGAAAAGCACUUUGAAAAGAGAGUUAAAAAGUACGUGAAAUUGUUGAAAGGGAAGCGCUUGAGGCCAGACUCAAUCUCCGUCGAUCAACCUCGGUUCUCCGCGGUGCAAUCGGCGGCUUUUGGGACAGCAUCGGUUCCGGCGGAGGGACAAAGCCUGAGGAAAUGUGGCACCCCUCGGGGUGUGUUAUAGACCUCUGGGUAAUGCCUCCAGCUGGGACCGUGGACCGCGCUUCGGCUAGGAUGCUGUCGUAAUGGCCUUCAGCGACCCGUCUUGAAACACGGACCAAGGAGUCUAACAUCUAUGCGAGUGUUCGGGUGGAAAACCCUUGCGCGUAAUGAAGGUGAACGGAGGUGGGAAUCGCAAGACGCACCAUCGACCGAUCCCGAUGGG
Molecule: ribosomal RNA, 681 nt
Filed under: Tarzetta alpina
Lineage: Eukaryota; Fungi; Ascomycota; Pezizomycetes; Pezizales; Tarzettaceae
Description: partial large subunit ribosomal RNA
Rfam family: Eukaryotic large subunit ribosomal RNA
Source: RNAcentral